AUCAUUCACAAUGGGCGAAAGCCUGAUGGUGCAACGCCGCGUGGGGGAUGAAGGUCUUCGGAUCGUAAACCCCUGUCACCAGGGACUAAACGGCAAAUGUUAAUAGCAUUUGUCCUGCAUUAACCUGGAGAGGAAGCAGUGGCUAACUCUGUGCCAGCAGCCGCGGUAAUACAGAGACUGCAAGCGUUAUUCGGAUUCACUGGGCGUAAAGGGUGCGCAGGCGGUCAGGUGUGUCAGAUGUGAAAGCUCCGGGCUUAACCCGGAAAUUGCGUCUGAAACUAUCUGGCUAGAGUAUUGGAGAGGGAAGCGGAAUUCUCGGUUUAGCGGUGAAAUGCGUAGAUAUCGAGAGGAACACCAAAGGCGAAGGCAGCUUCCUGGACAAUUACUGACGCUCAUGCACGAAAGCGUGGGUAGCGAAAGGG
Molecule: ribosomal RNA, 422 nt
Filed under: uncultured bacterium
Lineage: Bacteria
Description: bacterial SSU rRNA
Rfam family: Bacterial small subunit ribosomal RNA
Source: RNAcentral